This 1188-nucleotide long non-coding RNA is filed under the name Oncorhynchus mykiss (rainbow trout). RNAcentral describes it as "lncRNA (ENSOMYG00000064073.1)". The record is from RNAcentral. Lineage: Eukaryota; Metazoa; Chordata; Actinopteri; Salmoniformes; Salmonidae.
AUGGCCGUAAAAAAUCACUUUGCCCUCAUAAGAGUAAACACAGACAGUGGUUAUAUUUGUCCGUCCACUCGGGAUACACAACAACAAGAAUUAAAUAGCAGUCUUGGUCUGGGCGAAUUUGAGACAAGGAAGGAGGGAGCAGUGGCCCUACAGAACACCCAGUGGAGAGAGAGAGAGAGAGAGAGAGAGAGAGAGAGAGAGAGAGAGAGAGAGAGAGAGAGAGAGAGAGCUGAAUGGAAUGUCUCUGAUUCUCAAUGUUCCGUCUCAGAACACAUGAUAACAUGGAACUUCUAUCGUAAGGUGAGUACACAUUCUAUGGAUUCACACACCUGCUAUUAGAUAUUACAUUCCUAAUACAUGUUUUUAUAUGACAUAUCUGUUUAAUUAACAUGUAUUUUCAUGACAUAGCGUAAAUAUUUCCUUACAUACUUGACUCAUUUAGGUUUAUCCCGUGGAUAAAAGUUGUCAAGUUAAGUUUUGGCUAGAGUCGUGAGUCAUGUGGCAGGUUUAGGGCGUAGUUAUAGAGCCAGUGGGCAUCAGGAGAAAAACGACAAGCAACAGUACUCUUCUGUCAGGCAGGUGAUUAAGGAGGAGGCAUAAAAUAAUUAAGUGAUUGAAGGAAGGAAUAAUCAACACUAUCAAUUGUCUCUCCUAAACACAGCACAGCUCUGUAACAGGGAAUCACUCACUAACAGGUAAGCAGACAAACAAAUAUUGAUGUAUUGAUUAUCUGGCAGAGUAAUGAUAGUGAUUUUGGGCCGUUUUAAAAGAAGACUGCAAACUUGUUACCCAGUGGUGCGGAACUCUUGGAGUUAGCGUGCCUCGUGUAAGAAUGUUACUGAUAGGGACAGUCCAUGACGUAGCUUAUGGAUUUUACCGUGGACUUACAAAGAGCACGGUUUGCAUAUAGAAGACUUCAUGAAAUACAUGGAAACUGAUCAAGGUUUAUUGAUGAUGUUUCUGAUAUUAUACCGCUGAUCUUUCAAACUGUGGUAAAGACAGACAGCUUUAAAUGCAUUUUCUUCAAUGUAACUUUUGAUCUUAUUAGAAAGUAAUGUUCUUGAACAUCAUGUCGUCAGGAAUGAGUCAGUGUUAGGGAUGACCCCCCCCCCCCCUCGCUGAUACCCUUUUCUCUCUCUACCUUCUCUCAUUACACCCCCCCCCCUCUCUUCCUCCCACUACCCCUGA